This 405-nucleotide ribosomal RNA is filed under the name uncultured bacterium. RNAcentral describes it as "bacterial SSU rRNA". It matches the Rfam family "Bacterial small subunit ribosomal RNA", at positions 355 to 774 of the family's 1533-position model. The record is from RNAcentral.
UGGGGAAUAUUGCACAAUGGGGGAAACCCUGAUGCAGCAACGCCGCGUGAAGGAUGAAGGUUUUCGGAUUGUAAACUUCUUUAGUCAGGGACGAAAAAAAUGACGGUACCUGAAGAAUAAGCCACGGCUAACUACGUGCCAGCAGCCGCGGUAAUACGUAGGUGGCGAGCGUUGUCCGGAAUUACUGGGUGUAAAGGGCGUGUAAGCGGGAAUGUAAGUCAGAUGUGAAAUCCCAGGGCUUAACCCUGGAGCUGCAUCUGAAACUAUGUUUCUUGAGUGCCGGAGAGGAAAGCGGAAUUCCUAGUGUAGCGGUGAAAUGCGUAGAUAUUAGGAGGAACACCAGUGGCGAAGGCGGCUUUCUGAACGGUAACUGACGCUGAGGCGCGAAAGCGUGGGGAGCAAACA